UAUGGACAGAACUGUGGGGACGCAGAAGGAGAGCACGAGCCGGAAAUGGAAAAGCCGGUACAAGCGUAUAGCAGUCAUGCAGGCAAAACCGCAUGAAAAAUGUAAAGCGUUAUGUGGAUCGAACAUUAGUAGAGAAGCGUGUGAGCCAGCUGCCAAGAAAAGCCGCUAUUGUUUCAUAAGUACCCGUACCGUAAACCGACACAGGUGGAUGAGGAGAGAAUCCUAAGGCCGGCGGGAGAAGUGUUGUUAAGGAACUCGGCAAAAUGACUCCGUAACUUCGGGAGAAGGAGUGCCACAGAGAUGUGGCCGCAGAGAAAUGGCCCAAGCAACUGUUUAGCAAAAACACAGGUCUAUGCAAAACCGAAAGGUGAGGUAUAUGGGCUGACGCCUGCCCGGUGCUGGAAGGUUAAGAGGAGAGGUUAGAGCAAUCGAAGCUUUGAAUUUAAGCCCCAGUAAACGGCGGCCGUAACAAUAACGGUCCUAAGGUAGCGAAAUUCCUUGUCGGGUAAGUUCCGACCCGCACGAAAGGCGUAAUGAUUUGGGCACUGUCUCAACAACACACCCGGUGAAAUUGAAAUACCAGUGAAGAUGCUGGUUACCUGCGCCAGGACGGAAAGACCCCAUGGAGCUUUACUCCAGUUUGAUACUGGGAUUCGGUACUGUCUGUACAGGAUAGGUGGGAGGCUAGGAAAUGGUGACGCCAGUUGCCAUGGAGCCAACCUUGGGAUACCACCCUUACAGUACUGGGUUUCUAACCUGCAGCCGUAACCCGGCUGGGGGACAAUGUCUGACGGGGAGUUUGACUGGGGCGGUCGCCUCCGAAAGAGUAUCGGAGGCGCUCAAAGGUUCCCUCAGAACGGUUGGAAACCGUUCGAAGAGUGCAAAGGCAGAAGGGAGCUUGACUGCGACACCGACGGGUGGAGCAGAUACGAAAGUAGGACUUAGUGAUCCGGUGGUAUAAAGUGGGAUUGCCAUCGCUCAACGGAUAAAAGCUAUCCUGGGAUAACAGGCUUAUCACUCCCAAGAGUUCACAUCGACGGAGUGGUUUGGCACCUCGAUGUCGGCUCAUCGCAUCCUGGAGCUGUAGCAGGUUCCAAGGGUUGGGCUGUUCGCCCAUUAAAGCGGUACGCGAGCUGGGUUCAGAACGUCGUGAGACAGUUCGGUCCCUAUCCGGCGUGGGCGUAGGAUAUUUGAGAGGAGCUGUCCUUAGUACGAGAGGACCGGGAUGGACAAACCUCUGGUGUAUCUGUUGUUUUACCAAAGGCAUGGCAGAGUAGCCAAGUUUGGCAGGGAUAAACGCUGAAGGCAUCUAAGCGUGAAGCCCCCCUCAAGAUAAGAUAUCCCAUCUUCGGAGUAAGACCCCUUGAAGACUACAAGGUUGAUAGGCUUCAGGUGUAAGUGUGGUAACGCACUCAGCUGAGAAGUACUAAUAGGUCGAGGACUUACC
RNAcentral lists this ribosomal RNA (1447 nucleotides) under metagenome. RNAcentral describes it as "bacterial LSU rRNA". It matches the Rfam family "Bacterial large subunit ribosomal RNA", at positions 1449 to 2925 of the family's 2925-position model. The record is from RNAcentral.